This is an RNA transcript of Onychostoma macrolepis, 4935 nucleotides long. RefSeq lists it as uncharacterized. The record is from RefSeq and is a predicted model, not a curated record. The transcript is spliced from 6 exons. Lineage: Eukaryota; Metazoa; Chordata; Actinopteri; Cypriniformes; Cyprinidae.
CACAAAAAUUGAACCGAAACUCAGCAAAUACUUGCCUCACUGACAUAAUAAAUAUAUUUAUAGAAUGCUAUAAAAUACUACUUUACAACGAAAUAAUUCAAAUCGAAAAUUAUAAAGUCUUUCAUUAGCCUAUGUAAUCCAUGAAGAUGCAUUUCUCUCUAAAGGCGCGUCCAGUGAGGAGAUCUGGGGAGUAAGUGUGGAGCAAAGUGUGGAUCUGUCCUUGAUCAACUCAGUUUUGUUUAUAUUUUGCUUAACCUAUCAUCUUAAAUGACAGAUGUCCUAUUUAUUUAUUUUUCUCUGCGACACUUUUCCUACCGUGUUAACGAAAAAUGUCAAACGAAUUUAGUAUUUUGACAAGAUUAAUAAAAGGCUAUUUUUAGUAAGAUGUACAACUUUUUUUGUACAAACUUUUUUCUCUUUCUGCGACACUUUUUCCUAUUGUGUUGUAAAUAUUAAACGAAUGACAAGACGAAUAAAAUAACAAAUACAAUUUUGUGCAGGCUACACUUUUAUUCGUUAGCCUAUAUCUCUCUUUCAGUAGCGGAAAUUUAAAUGUGAGAUUCUGGAAACGAGAUCUAAAUUUAGUGAGAACGGUCGGGUCAGGAAGAAAUUAUUCUAAUUAAGCGGACAGCGGGUGAACAAAGAGUGAAUAGCGGGAGCGGGUGGGUGAAGGACAAAAAAACCCCAGCGUGUCAACCGUCCCUUUGCACCACCUGGUGGUGAUUUCGCGAACGACUUUCACAUCUGAGUAAUUUGUAUUUGCCGCUGCGGCAUUACCACGGCGGCUAGCGCGGCGGUAAUAGGCAUUCUGGUUGACUACCUACUGUAUACCUUUUUGAAUUUUUUCAUCCGAAAUAUCAGUCGGAGUGCAUUUAAAAGCAAAAGCUUAGGACAGCAUGAUAUGUCGACUUCUAGUAUGUCCUUCAGAGUCAUACCUGUUUCCAAAAAUUAUUAACUUCAGGGCAAUCCCAAAACAUAUGUUUGUAUGUGCAUAUAGAGUUUCUUCAGAAAUUACAAAUAGAAGAUGAGGAAAGCUUCAUUACAAAACAUUUCCAAGGAGUGAGAUACAUCCUAUGAUCCAUUUUGUAGUAAAUUAAUUGAUGAUUAGGAUUUUUUGAAUCAAGUUUAAGAUUGGACCAUAUUGAAUCCCAACAGAUAUUGUUAUUGCGGUUUUCUGUAUCCAUACCAUACACUCUAAAAAAAAAUCCGUAAAAAUACAGUAAAAUAUACCGUAAUAAUUUGAAGGAAUUUUCCGUAUUUGGUUUUUACAGGUGUUUUUCCGUAUUUUUUAAAUUACGCUUUGCAUUGUGGGAACAAGAAGCUCAGUCGAUUAUCGGCACGAAAACAGUGCUUGAGCAGACGCCAUUAUUCACAGAGAUAGUUUCGGUAAAAAUUUCAUUUUAAAGUCGGAUUUCGGGUUUGAGGAACCGUUCUUACACUUCCGUGUUAAAUUAUAUUUUGUUAAAUGUAACAAACUGUAACUUUAACUUAGUUGCUGUCGUCCUUGUUUGCCAAAUGAAUGUAGGAGCCGUCGCAUUUGACAUUUUCAGCACACCGUCACAUCUCACUCGACGUGGAGGUAAGUUACAUUGUGCUCACUUUCAGUUUUAUAAAUAAGUUAUUAACUUUUAAUUGUUAUUGAUGCGGUGUAUUUGUUACUGCGCGUGCCGUAAAGCAUCCGGCAUGUUAACGUUACUGAGGUGAUGUUAAGCAGCUGUGAUAACGUUAAAUCUGAAGUGUCGUACAACUGUGUUUAGAGCGCUGUGUGCCUCCAACAGAAGCUGGCAGAGCAAUUGUCAAGAAAAGAAGAUACCAUUACGACUUUUUUUUUAUUCUUUAAAAGAGAUUAUACAACUAGGUGAAGAUCUGACAUCGCGGAAUUCUUCAAGGAUAACGCAACUUUUCUGCCAAACGAGGUCGUAAUUGCUGCUGUAUUGUGCAUCCCAAGUACCCCCUGCAUUCUUAUCAAGGAUUGCUGUCAUUCAAGAACUUAUCAUUUCCUCCCCCAUUGUGGCUGAGCUACACAUUCUCUUCAUUUUAUUUUAAACAUAAAACAUCCAGAGGAGAUGGCACCUACGUUGGAAUUCAUACAAAUUCUUCCUGUGAAGAAAUCCUGAACGAGGGUCGACGGUUCAGAUGAAGGGAACCUACGUUUCCAAGACUCAUGUAUGAACAACUUUGAGAAUCCAUGUACAAUUUUUUCAAAUCUCAACAUGGAACUUGGACUGAACAUGCAGCAAAAGGAAAAAAGAAGUAGUUUCCCCAAGCUGGCACAUGGCAAGGGAUACUAAAAGCACACAAACACUUGGAGCCCUGUAUAGUUCUCUUAGUUUCACAUUGAAAUGUCAGGCAUGAGUGCAUGAAUCUUUGUUCUUUAUUUUCAAAUGAAACUAGUUUUUUAUUUUUUAUUUUUUUUUCAGUACCAUGUCAAUUGUAGAUGACAGAGUUCACAUUUUUGAUGUGAACUGUCCUUUUAAAUAACAUUUCACUUGACUAUUGACUAGAAGUCUGUAGCAAUUGUUAUUAAUGACAGCCCUGUCUUUGUAUAAAUUUUUUCCCAUGUAUCUGAAAAUGUUUUGAAUCUUGACUGUUUCGCAGUGAAGUUUGUGACCACAAUUUGGUGCAACACCAAUAUUGUACAAGUAGCUGCUCAUGUUUUCUUUUUUCUGCCUGGUGCUGUUUAAAACUAAAACACAUUGUUAAAUUAAUUGAUGUAAUAAUAUUUUUGUCUUCACCUGUUUAAGGCAAAUAAAAGCUACUGAACGCACUUUUAAGAAUGUUUACAUGAGGUAAAAAUAAACCAUGUUCAAUUUGUAUAUAUUGUGCUGGAUUGUGCUGGAUUUGCUACUAAAGAUAGGCCUAUGCUAUAAUUUUUUAGAAAUUUCUGCAAAACGGAUUGUCCGUUUAUGGUACAGAAGAAAAUGUAAAUCUACAUGUAAAUCAAAUUAAUGUUGAAGGAAAUGUCCGUAAAUUUAACAGAAAAUGUCCUGGUAAUUUUCUGCCAGUACAUUAUCCGUUUUUUUAUGGAUUUUUUUUUUUUUUACAGUGUAUAUAUCUCUGUACCAGAUGUUCAAAAUUGAUAACUGCUUAUAGGAGGCUUCCAAACACAACAAAUACAAUGAAUGUAGUAUACCUGUUAUGUUAUAAUUGAGCCGAAACAGUGUUUCACACUCUUCAACGGGAUAUUACAAGAAAUUCCAUAUGAACUUAAAUUUUAAUAUUUGAAGCUUGACCAGUAAUUCGUGGGUGGGGAAAUUAGUAUCAUAGUAGAUAAAAAAAGAAUUAAGAACAGUUUUUUUUUUUAUUUUAUUUUUUUAUGUAGGCUAAUAGCUCAAUAAAAUAAGAAAUCCUCGGUAGUGCAGCUUUAACAGCAAAGAACAAACAGUGGAUGGCUUUAUAAACAGACUGUGAAACAAGCCACUAAGUUUAAGACACUAGGCUACAUAUUCAAUGCUUCUAAUUACUCUUAAUACAUUUUUUUUUAACAGGUUAAGCCGUCAUGGCUACUGUGAAGACAUUCCUUACAAUCCUUAAUCUGCUUCUAUACAGCUGUUUCUGCUCGGACACGAAUUGUAAAGAUGGAGAAUGUAAACCCAUUAAGGACACCACACAAGUAAUCUGCGAGUGCCAUAACAUGUGUCUUGACACAUGCUUAGUUAAACCCUGUGGAGUGAACGCCAAAUGCUCCUCCUCCAAUCGUGACAGGAGCUGCAGCUGUGUGGGGCCGUGGAAAGGAGACCCAUACGAGGGCUGCAGGAGUCAGGACCUCCAGUGGGUUCAGACCAGAGAAGUGCCCAGCAAUGCUGUUCGUUCUAAAACCCAACUUGUGGUGUGCAAAGCCAUUGGACCUGACAGUGGGUGGCACAGUGGGUUUGUAAAGGAUCAACGCUGUAAUUAUGAAUACAACUGGAGCAAGCAUCAGGCCAACAACUAUGAGUGGAAAAAGUGAUGGCCUUGUGGGGAAGCUUUUCAACACGCGAGAUGGCUUUCUGUGCCAUAUUGCCAAGGACAAUACCAGGGAUGAACAUUUCUAUGCUCUGGUUCCACAACCAUGUAUCUGAAGACACUUCACCAUGAUUCACUGUUCAGUGCUCAAGUUUGGAAAAGAGUUUCCAAUGCUCUCCAAACAUUAAGCAUGUGGCACAAACACAUAUGGUUAUUGUUAUUAUUUUUUUUAAAGUUGUUUUGCAGUGGGAUCCUUUUCAGGAUUAUAUAGAGUUCUAAAAAUGUAUUAGACAUUCAAAUUUAAUGAAAGUGGGCGAGUAGAGUACUUUUCCACCAGCAGGAAAUGUUAUGUACAUUUGCAGUUAAAUCCAGUGAGUUCUCUCACGAUCAAUACUAUGAACUCAAUGGCAAAAUUCUUUUGCUGCAAUCAUGAUGUGAACAGUGUGCAAAUUCUAAUGAUAAAUAAAUGCUUCAGUGAAUGUUACUAGAUUCACAAUUGGAUGUCUUGUGUGUCAGAGUUACAGCCCAAAAUAAUGGUUGUGGCUUCAAUAUAUUGUUGUUGUUGACAGAGCAUGUAAUUUUAUGAAGAGAAUAAAAUGAAUUUAGAUACAUAUUUAGACAUUCUCAAAGACAAUGUUUUGUAAAGGUUUAGAUUUUGUUUUUUGUUUUUUAAUGUUGCUUUGAAAUGUCAGUUUUUGUAUUAAUUUUACUACAGUAAAAAUCUGAACACAGAGAAAGAUUUCAUUACACACAUCAUCAAAGUAAAAAAAAAAACGAACAGGAAUGCUUUAUCAGAGAUUAAUCAAUCUGAUUUCAACCUCUUGUUUGAGUCUUCAGGCUCAAUUUUGCCAUAUUGUUACAGCCACGGUUAGUGUGUCUGUUUUGCACUCUUGAUAUUUCAGAGUUUCACCCCUUCAUUGCUGUGGACUUUUUUUGUGCAUCAUGGGUGAUUUGUAGAUUGUACACACAAUAAAAUUCUCUGUAUUGUCA